UUUACUGUUCCAGCAAAAAAU
RNAcentral lists this non-coding RNA (21 nucleotides) under Caenorhabditis elegans. Lineage: Eukaryota; Metazoa; Nematoda; Chromadorea; Rhabditida; Rhabditidae. The record is from RNAcentral.